RNAcentral lists this ribosomal RNA (253 nucleotides) under uncultured bacterium. RNAcentral's name for it is "partial 16S ribosomal RNA". It matches the Rfam family "Bacterial small subunit ribosomal RNA", at positions 524 to 776 of the family's 1533-position model. The record is from RNAcentral.
UACGUAGGGUGCAAGCGUUAAUCGGAAUUACUGGGCGUAAAGUGUGCGCAGGCGGCCGCGCAAGUCGAGUGUGAAAGCCCCGAGCUUAACUUGGGAACUGCGCUCGAAACUACGUGGCUGGAGUGUGGCAGAGGAAGGUGGAAUUCCACGUGUAGCGGUGAAAUGCGUAGAGAUGUGGAGGAACACCAAUGGCGAAGGCAGCUCGCUGGGACGGUACUGACGCUGAGGCGCGAAAGCGUGGGGAGCAAACAGG